Phascolarctos cinereus (koala) is the source of this 402-nucleotide non-coding RNA. The record is from the annotation of a RefSeq genome assembly. Lineage: Eukaryota; Metazoa; Chordata; Mammalia; Diprotodontia; Phascolarctidae.
UUCAUUCUGACUCUUUUACGAGGUGUCCAUUGUGAGGUUCACCUGGUAGAGUCUGAGGGUGGUGUGAGACAGCCUGGAGGAUCUCUUCCCCUCUCCUGCAAACCUUCUGGAUUCACCUUCAGCAUCUAUUACAUUAGCUGGGUCCGCCAGGCUCCAGGGAAGGGACUCGAGUGGCACGCAUCUAUUUAUAGUAACGUAGGAAAAACAUUCUAUGCAGACUCUGUGAAAGGCAGAUUCACCAUCUCCCUGAACUACAGCAACGACGUGCUGCAUCUGCAAAUGAAUUCCCUUAAAGCUGAGGACACAGCCAUGUAUUACUGUGCAAGAGACACAGUGAGAAAAAGGAGUACGAGAGCACACAUAAAACUCCUCAUUCAGACAGGCCACAUGAGAGUGACUUAG